Molecule: ribosomal RNA, 254 nt
Filed under: uncultured bacterium
Lineage: Bacteria
Description: partial 16S ribosomal RNA
Rfam family: Bacterial small subunit ribosomal RNA
Source: RNAcentral
UACGUAGGGUGCGAGCGUUUGUCCGGAAUUAUUGGGCGUAAAGAGCUUGUAGGCGGUUUGUCGCGUCUGCUGUGAAAAUCCGGGGCUCAACCCCGGACUUGCAGUGGGUACGGGCAGACUAGAGUGUGGUAGGGGAGACUGGAAUUCCUGGUGCAGCGGUGAAAUGCGCAGAUAUCAGGAGGAACACCGGUGGCGAAGGCGGGUCUCUGGACAGUUCCUGACGCUGAGCACGAAGGUCAGGGGAGCAAACGGGG